CUGCUACUACUACUAUACUACUAUAAAGAAAAAAAAGGAAAACACACACAUAAAUCCAAAAUGAAAACCUUUCAGAACAUUCCUCCUCCCACCACUUCCCCAACAAACCACAGUGAGAUGCAUUUGGACCCUUAAUCAAGUGUUCACCCUUCAAUAUAAUUAAUACUAAGUCCAUCGGGGGAGAGAGGAGUCUCCCUUGCACCACAGACCCCCAGGAAACACAACUGCCACCUCUUGUGUUUCCAUGUCACACAUGGCACCACCCAGAAGAAAGUUUGCCAUGGUGACACUUGCCUUUCCAUGCACAGUGCUCUCACCACCAAUGCAUGGAUGGACAGACUGCUUUUAGGAUUUUUCCUUUCAAGGAUGCUCUGCCAAAGAGGGGAAAAAUCAACUGUUAAAUUUUUUAUUUUUUGGGACCACAGUCCCCCCCAUUUUCUUCCUCCCCUGGGGCCGAGGGUCUCAGGAACAGAGAUCUUCUUCUCUUCUUCUCUGAAGACGGGGGGGCACCACCACAAAGCUCCCCAACUUUUCUGUGUUCGCUCCACUCCUGUCUUUCCUCAGCUGCUGAAGCAGGUCUCUUGGCUCACCAGCAUCCUCCUAAAAUACAGUCUCUCUCUCGGAGGAGAAACUCAGUUCAGUCUAUGGCUAACAAGAAAAAGUCCAGCCAGAAGCCACUCCAUCAUCUCCUUCCACCCAGAAUUUCUCCUUCUAACAUCUCAGGUCCCAGGCUGUCUCUCUUCCUCUCUUUCAAGCCGAGGAGGAGUAAAAUUUCACAAGGCUUUCAUUUCUCAAGGAAGGGUUAAAAGUCCCGGCUCCCUGGCUGACUCUCUGCCCGGAUCUCCGGCUCCCACCUGGGAGCUGGGCACCUUGCAGCCUUGGGGGCCCCCCCCGCUCUCCUCCUUCCCCGCGGUACUGCUGGCAAACCGUCGCUGUCUCUUGAGAGAGAGACUCUGGGGGGAAUGGAGACAUCCCAGAUGUUUUCCACCCUUCCAUCUGCAGGGCCCAGCCCGGUUCCAGCCCCUCCACCCUUCGGCCUUACCUCAGCCAGGCCUCGGGCCUUCCCUCCCCCACCCAGCCACGGGCCGGGCAGGGGAGAGUCCUGCACUGCACCCUGACCGGAACAAAAGAGAGCGAGUUCCCCUGGGAAU
RNAcentral lists this long non-coding RNA (1151 nucleotides) under Chloebia gouldiae (Gouldian finch). RNAcentral's name for it is "Erythrura gouldiae (Gouldian finch) lncRNA (ENSEGOG00005005431.1)". Lineage: Eukaryota; Metazoa; Chordata; Aves; Passeriformes; Passeridae. The record is from RNAcentral.